CUACGGGGGGCUCCAGGCGCGAAAACUUCACACUGUGCGAAAGCACGAUGAGGGGAUCCCAAGUGCUGGCUCGUAAGAGUCAGCUGUUUCUCUAUCUAAAAAAUAGAGAGAGUAAGGGCUGGGUAAGACGGGUGCCAGCCGCCGCGGUAAUACCUGCAGCCCGAGUGGUGGCCGCUAUUAUUGGGCCUAAAACGUUCGUAGCCGGUUUAGUAAAUGCCUGGGUAAAUUGUGUAGCUUAACUAUACGAAUUCCGGGUAGACUGUUAAACUUGAGACCGGGAGAGGCUAGAGGUACUCCUGGGGUAGAGGUGAAAUUCUGUAAUCCUAGGGGGACCACCAGUGGCGAAGGCGUCUAGCUAGAACGGGUCUGACGGUGAGGAACGAAGCCCUGGGGCGCAAACCGGAUUAGAUACCCUCGUAGUC
Molecule: ribosomal RNA, 422 nt
Filed under: uncultured archaeon
Lineage: Archaea
Description: partial 16S ribosomal RNA
Rfam family: Archaeal small subunit ribosomal RNA
Source: RNAcentral